Molecule: long non-coding RNA, 468 nt
Filed under: Gossypium raimondii (Peruvian cotton)
Lineage: Eukaryota; Viridiplantae; Streptophyta; Magnoliopsida; Malvales; Malvaceae
Description: long non-coding RNA (GRAI_LNC005653)
Source: RNAcentral
CAGUAGGAUGGAAUGAGGCUACUUGAAGAAAAACACCAAGGUUCAAGCUUGACCGGGCAAAAUUGGCCAUUUUUUAGUUUUUGCUUCAUUCCCGUAACACGACAAUGAGCAAAGAGGGGCAGCUGUAAUGACCCAAUAUUGCCCGACCCAAAUAAAAAAUAAAUAAACAAAAAAUAUAAAAAAAUAAAAUAAACCAAACCAAAAUCUAAAAGUCCACAGUCCAAAUACAUAGGCCCAACGUGGCCCAAAUCAUUUUAACCCACUAGCCUAGCCCAAUAACCCCAAAUCAUUUAACCUAAACUACCCAAACCGUUAGCCCAAUACAAGCCCAAAAUAGUUUCAAAGAAACCCUAGCACCAAGGCCAUCCUCCGCGUGUGCCGAGCCACUCUCCACGCAUGCAGUGCCUCCACGCGCCUCCAGCUGGCCUCCAUACGUUGAACCUGCGCAGGAAACAAACAAACAACCAG